Molecule: ribosomal RNA, 1663 nt
Organism: Syntrophaceticus schinkii
Lineage: Bacteria; Bacillati; Bacillota; Clostridia; Thermoanaerobacterales; Thermoanaerobacterales Family III. Incertae Sedis
Rfam family: Bacterial large subunit ribosomal RNA
Source: Rfam
AUGCAAGCUACUAACGCAUAUGGUGGAUGCCUUGGCGUCAGGUGCUGAAGAAGGGCGUGGUAAGCUGCGAAAAGCCUCGGGUAGCCGCAAACAGGCGUUAAUCCGGGGAUACCCGAAUGGGGAAACCCGACUGGGCUAAAACCCAGUCAAUCCUUACUGAAUCCAUAGGUAAGGAUGAGCAACCGGGAGAACUGAAACAUCUUAGUACCCCGAGGAACAGAAAACAACCGUGAUUCCCCAAGUAGCGGCGAGCGAACGGGGAACAGCCCAAACCUUAAACGUGUCAAGACUGUACUCGUUGCGUUUAAGGGGUCGAGGGGCGUAAGAGGGAUCCGGUACAGCGGAUCCGGUGAGCAAAAAGGCUCCCCCUUAGGGGAAUAGACCUGGAAAGGUCAACCGAAGAGAGCAACAGUCUCGUACCCGAAAAGGAGAGCACUCACCUGUUACGAACCCAAGUACUGCGGGGCACGUGAAAUCCUGCAGGAAUUCGGGAGGACCACCUCCUAAGGCUAAAUACUACCUGACGACCGAUAGUGAACGAGUACCGUGAGGGAAAGGUGAAAAGCACCCCGGGAGGGGAGUGAAAAAGAACCUGAAACCAUAUGCUGACAAGCAGUCAGAGUCCGGCGUAAAGCCGGAUCAUGGCGUACUUUUUGUAGAACGGACCGGCGAGUUGCGAUAUGCAGCGAGGUUAAAGCUUAAAAGGCUGGAGCCGCAGCGAAAGCGAGUCUGAAGAGGGCGAAAGAGUUGCAUAGCGCAGACCCGAAACCGGGUGAGCUACCCAUGGGCAGGGUGAAGCGAGACUAACCUCUCGUGGAGGCCCGAACCGACCGUCGUUGAAAAGCCGGCGGAUGACCUGUGGGUAGGAGUGAAAAGCUAAACGAACCCGGAGAUAGCUGGUUCUCCCCGAAAUAGCUUUAGGGCUAGCCUCAGGGGGAUACUUUAUGGGGGUAGAGCACUGAUCAGGCUAGGGGCGUCGACCACGUUACCGAACCUUUUCAAACUCCGAAUACCAUAAAGAGAGAACCUGGGAGUCAGACUAUGGGUGACAAGAUUCAUAGUCAAAAGGGAAAGAGCCCAGACCGCCGGCUAAGGUCCCCAAGUACAGGCUAAGUGGGAAAGGAUGUGGGGCUACCCAGACAACCAGGAUGUUGGCUUAGAAGCAGCCACCAUUCAAAGAGUGCGUAAUAGCUCACUGGUCAAGUGGCCCUGCGCCGAAAAUGUAACGGGGCUCAAGCCUGACACCAAAGCCGCGGAGUUUAGUGGUUUGUCGUUAGUGGUUAGUAGUUAGGAGAAGAAAAGAUGCCGGAUUUUAGUGGUUAGUCAUUAGUGGUUAGUGGUUGGAGUAGAAGGAAUUCGUUUUGCGAAUUCCCACUAAACUAACGACUAAUUACCAACGACCUACAACUAAAAGACAAGCGUGGAAUCCUAACGACUAAUUACCAACGACCAACCACUAAACUGGUAGGGGAGCGUUCCAGCAGCACAGAAGGUGUACCGAAAGGUAUGCUGGAGCGGCUGGAAGUGAGAAUGCCGGUAUGAGUAGCGAGAAGGCAGGUGAGAAUCCUGCCCGCCGGAAGCCCGAGGUUUCCUGGGGAAGGCCGUCGUCCGCCCAGGGUAAGUCGGGACCUAAGCCGAGGCUGAAAAGCGUAGGCGAUGGACA